GACGGCUGUCUGUGCUGGGUCCCUGGCUGUGUGGGCUGCUUGUGGUGGGCCAUGUAGUCCUUACGUUUUUCCUUAGAUUAAAUGUGUCAAGGUGGUUUGUCAGGGGUGAGAUCUGUUCACAGUGGGUCUCUGUCAACUGACCCCACUCACUAAACUCUCUGGCUUUUGGAAGUUCCCAGAGGUGCUGGCGAAUGGUAGAGAGACCCUAAGGGGAGAUUAGCUGGACUUUGUAAAUGGGACAAAGUCCAGAAACAACUGAGCUGCAGAUGUCCUAGUCAGCCCUACCUGUGUUUCCAGCUUAUGGCCCAAGUUGUACCAUUCCGUAGAGUAACCAUACCUGUGGGCCCCUCAUCACAUCAUUCCUGGAAAUUGUGCUAGCAUGUAGCUGACGUCCCAUGUGGCUUUACUGACCUCUGCAUGUAGCAUCAGCACCAACCAGGUGGCUUCUGUGAGCAGUCAGUGAUGGGACCAGGCUGCCAACACCGAGCAGAUGCUCAUGGCAGCUGCUGAUGAGCACAGCCACCUUUAUGGCACUGAACAUUGUUCCACCUAAGAGCAGGCGAGUGUUGGCUCGAGACAGCUGGCUGGUUUCUCCCUGGAGAAUAAACAGUGCAGAUAGCAGCACGUCUGUCUUGUUUGCAUGUCUGCCGUAAAGCAGGGCAGACUUCUGCAGACACCCUUGCAGCAGUGAAUUUUCAGGUCUGAGCAACUUGGUGUUGUUCAGACCGGACUGAUGUGUUGCCCGCACUGUGGACAGAGGUGAAAGGAUCAGCUGGCAUUAGAUUCUGGUGGGUAAUUCCAUACCUCUCCUCCUGUUGCAUGCAUCGAAUUAAACAUCUGAAGCUGGAGGCUGACUAGGUGCCAUCUGCAGGAAAGAGACAUGGACAUUUGCUGUGUCACUUGUGCUUGUUCCACAGAGAUGUCCUAAUGGUGAAAUAGAUAGUGUGUGCAAAAGAAUCUCCCUGGGGCUCUGGAUACGAGUCUGGUAGCCUUUCAGAGCAGCAGAGCAAAGUGGCAGACAGAACCUUCCAUCAAGUAGGUGGCUAGGCUUGUGCUCACUGGAGGUCAUGGGGUGUUAGUGCAAAAAGAGGCUGACUAUAUCGGGCCCCAAGUUAGGGUUAAGGAAAAUGAUCCCGGUUUAUACAGCACAAGUCUGAUUUAAAAUGAUUUCUCUGCUGUUUCUUGGGCUGUGUCUUUUGUUGGCCUGGAUCCUGCUUAUCCUUGAGCCUCCAACUUGGGCUUUUUCUAGCCGAGAAACUUUCCUAAAGAGCCCAUCUCUUCCUUCUGCCUAACUUUCCCACCCUGAGACCCCGCUUCUCCUUCAUGCUGGCCUUGGCUUCCCCUUCAGUUGUUGCUGCCACGUUGUGCUGUGGUUUGCAGUGAGACUCUUCUCUGGCCUGGCUUUUCAGGGCCAACACUCAUCAUUCUCAUCUGUGGGUGGCUUGGUGUUGUGCAGGGUGCUCAGGGACAUGUGGUGAGUGUGCAGAAUCAUGCUUUGUGGCUGACACACAUACAUGCAGGUCCUUACUGGCUCAAAGAAUCACUCACUUCUGAGAGGGGCUGAUGAUAAUCCUGCAACAGUGGACCUGGAGAGGGUUGUUGCCUCUGCUGCUUCUUAGUGCUACUGUUCUCUGGGCUUACAUGUCUAAGAAUAUUCAGCUUUCAUCUCAUGUGAGCACCAUGAGACCAGCCUAUUUUCAGAAAGAACUGACAGUUAACCUGGGAAUAAGUGCUUAAACUCUUUGUAACUUGCCCUGUCUAGAACCUGCAUAAAUAGUAGUGAGGUCCUUCCUUGUGCAAAGAAUUGAGGAACUAGUGACAGGCACUGCCAGAAUCAUAUUUUGAGGAAGCACAGGAGCUGUCGGGGCUCUAGUUGUGCCAUUGUCUGAGCACAUGGCCAACUUCUUCUGGCUUCCUGUUUCUGUGGUCUCUGCUGCUUCUUAUACCUCAGCCUUCAGGGUGGUGCUCCACUAGUACAACUGUGUAAUAGCAAGUGUGAUUGUGCCAGUAGAAGAUUAAAGAUGCUUUAGGAGCAUGUCUGUUUUAGUCAGAAAGCUGUAGCUGUUGCCAAACAUGGUGAUCCUGACUGUCUUUUUAGAGUCAUUUUCAUGUAACUUUCUGAGUUACAUGAAGUUAUGCUGAAGAAUCCCUUUGUCACAGUGGCCUCUCGCCACUCCCUCACUGACAUUUUCUGGUUGAGAUCCUAGAGGUCAUGCAUGGGGUAUGUUACGGUUUAUGUCGAGAUGUCCCCCCAGAGCCUCAUGCAAUCACAGGGUUUGUUUUGGAAGUGACUGUAUCUAGAGUGUGUGAUGCUGGGUUUAAGGCUGUGUGAUACUGGUUGGUUUGACAGCGCCCUAAUCCUAGCAGCCUAGAGUGUAAAAUGGUCAGAAAGAUGCUAUUAAGGCUGCUUGCUUGCUGUUGCUAUCUUCUGCUGCUCUGAACUUUUGCCCCUGUGCCAUGCACAACCCUGUCUCGGAACCAGCUAUGGACUGAAACCUCUACAAUGUGUGAGCUUUCUUCCUUUAACUUUGGGUGUCAGGUAUUUUAUCUCAGCAACAAGAAAAAUAACUUAAGAUUGGCCACCUGCCGAGCCUCACUGAUGUGCUGAACACUGCCCAAGUGGCCAGACCCAGCAUCUACCAGUCAGCUGUUGGCCAUGAAUAUCAGUUGAAACUUGCUAAGCACUGCUCUCAAGUCGACUCGGUCCGGGGUUUUGGAGGCAAGUUUGGUGUCCAGAUGGACAGAGUUGACCAGAGUGCGUCGACCUUUGAAGGUGUGGCACAGGUAUCGUCUGCCUACUAGAAG
Long non-coding RNA from Cavia porcellus (domestic guinea pig), 2805 nucleotides. RefSeq lists it as uncharacterized. The transcript has 3 exons. NCBI's taxonomy places the organism in Eukaryota, Metazoa, Chordata, Mammalia, Rodentia, Caviidae. The record is from RefSeq and is a predicted model, not a curated record.